Molecule: ribosomal RNA, 505 nt
Filed under: uncultured bacterium
Lineage: Bacteria
Description: partial 16S ribosomal RNA
Rfam family: Bacterial small subunit ribosomal RNA
Source: RNAcentral
GACGAACGCUGGCGGCGUGCCUAAUACAUGCAAGUAGAACGCACAGUUUAUACCGUAGCUUGCUACACCAUAUACUGUGAGUUGCGAACGGGUGAGUAACGCGUAGGUAACCUGCCUGGUAGCGUGGGAUAACUAUUGGAAACGAUAGCUAAUACCGCAUAAUAUUGAUUAUUGCAUGAUAAUUAAUUGAAAGGUGCAAUUGCACCACUACCAUAUGGACCUGCGUUGUAUUAGCUAGUAGGUGAGGUAAGGGCUCACCUAGGCGACGAUACAUAGCCGACCGGAGAGGGUGAUAGGACACACUGGGACGGAGACAAGGUCAAGAAUACUACGGGAGGGAGCAGUAGGGAAGUUUCGGCAAAGGAAGAAAGGCUGAACGAGCAACGCCGCGUGAGUGAAGAAGGUUGUCGGAUCGUAAAGAUCAGUUGUAAGAGAAGAACGGGAGUGAGAGUGGAAAGGGCACACUGUGACGGUAUCUGAACAGAAAGGGACGGCUAACUACGUG